Molecule: small RNA, 107 nt
Filed under: Marmota monax (woodchuck)
Lineage: Eukaryota; Metazoa; Chordata; Mammalia; Rodentia; Sciuridae
Source: RNAcentral
GCUGGGUGUGGUGGGGCACACCUGUAAUCCCAGCUACUGGGAAGGCUGAGGCAGAAGGAUCACAAGUUGGAGGCCAGCCUCAGCAAGUUAGUGAGACCCUGUCUUAA